UAGCUCAGUGGCAGAGCACUUGUUCACUAUGCAUGAGGCCCUGGGUUCAAUCCCCAG
RNAcentral lists this transfer RNA (57 nucleotides) under Heterocephalus glaber (naked mole-rat). It matches the Rfam family "tRNA", at positions 8 to 63 of the family's 71-position model. From Rfam's summary of the family: Transfer RNA (tRNA) molecules are approximately 80 nucleotides in length. Their secondary structure includes four short double-helical elements and three loops (D, anti-codon, and T loops). Lineage: Eukaryota; Metazoa; Chordata; Mammalia; Rodentia; Bathyergidae. The record is from Rfam by way of RNAcentral.